Molecule: ribosomal RNA, 404 nt
Filed under: uncultured bacterium
Lineage: Bacteria
Description: partial 16S ribosomal RNA
Rfam family: Bacterial small subunit ribosomal RNA
Source: RNAcentral
AUUGAACGCUGGCGGCAGGCCUAACACAUGCAAGUCGACGAGUGGCGAACGGGUGAGUAACACGUGAGUAACCUGCCCUCCACUUUGGGAUAACUCCGAGAAAUCGGGGCUAAUACUGGAUAGUGGGGGAUGGGCUCGCGGCCUAUAAGUUUGUUGGUGAGGUAGUGGUCACCAAGGCGUGACGGGUAGCCGGCGUGAGAGGGCGACCGGCCCCACUGGGACUGAGACACGGCCCAGACUCCUCCGGGAGGCAGCAGUGGGGAAUAUUGCACAAUAGGCGAAAGCCUGAGGCAGCGACGCGGCGUGGGGAAUGACGGCCUUCGGGUUGUAAACCUCUUUCAGCAAGGAAGCGGUACUUGCAGAAGAAGCGCCGGCUAACUACGUGCCAGCAGCCGCGGUAAUUC